Molecule: ribosomal RNA, 467 nt
Filed under: uncultured bacterium
Lineage: Bacteria
Description: partial 16S ribosomal RNA
Rfam family: Bacterial small subunit ribosomal RNA
Source: RNAcentral
GACGAACGCUGGCGGCGUGCUUAACACAUGCAAGUCGAACGGAAAGACCCUGCUUUUGUGGGGUGCUCGAGUGGCGAACGGGUGAGUAACACGUGAGUAACCUGCCCUUGACUUUGGGAUAACUUCAGGAAACUGGGGCUAAUACCGGAUAGGAGCUCCUGCUGCAUGGUGGGGGUUGGAAAGUUUCGGCGGUUGGGGAUGGACUCGCGGCUUAUCAGCUUGUUGGUGGGGUAGUGGCUUACCAAGGCUUUGACGGGUAGCCGGCCUGAGAGGGUGACCGGCCUCAUCGGCCCUGUGUUGGUGCCCAGAGAAGUCCUGGGGGCAGGGGUUGGGAGUUGUGCGUAAUGGCCUGAAGAGUGAUGCAGCCACGCAGGGAGUGGGAAGACGGUGCUUGCUUUGUAACCUGCUGUCUGCUGCGAAGCGGGGUUGUGGAGGUUAAUGACUACUGGAGUACCAGCCAACUACGU